This 486-nucleotide ribosomal RNA is filed under the name uncultured bacterium. RNAcentral's name for it is "partial 16S ribosomal RNA". It matches the Rfam family "Bacterial small subunit ribosomal RNA", at positions 29 to 507 of the family's 1533-position model. The record is from RNAcentral.
AUUGAACGCUGGCGGCAUGCCUUACACAUGCAAGUCGAACGGCAGCACGGGUGCUUGCACCUGGUGGCGAGUGGCGAACGGGUGAGUAAUACAUCGGAACAUGUCCUGUAGUGGGGGAUAGCCCGGCGAAAGCCGGAUUAAUACCGCAGACGAUCGACGGAUGAAAGCGGGGGACCUUCGGGCCUCGCGCUAUAGGGUUGGCCGGUGGCUGAUUAGCUAGUUGGUGGGGUAAAGGCCUACCAAGGCGACGAUCAGUAGCUGGUCUGAGAGGACGACCAGCCACACUGGGACUGAGACACGGCCCAGACUCCUACGGGAGGCAGCAGUGGGGAAUUUUGGACAAUGGGCGAAAGCCUGAUCCAGCAAUGCCGCGUGUGUGAAGAAGGCCUUCGGGUUGUAAAGCACUUUUGUCCGGAAAGAAAUCCUUGGCCCUAAUACGGUCGGGGGAUGACGGUACCGGAAGAAUAAGCACCGGCUAACUACGUG